Non-coding RNA from Arachis ipaensis, 683 nucleotides. The record is from RefSeq and is a predicted model, not a curated record. Lineage: Eukaryota; Viridiplantae; Streptophyta; Magnoliopsida; Fabales; Fabaceae.
AGUCCCCACCACCCAAUAUUUGCAUGCCGCCAUGCUUAAUUGGUACGUAAGGGUUGGCACCUAUCACGAACUUCCGAAAAAAUCGUAGUUAGUUUCCUCAACUAAUCUUAUUUUCUCCCAAAUUAAUGCUACAAUUAAAGGCCAUGCAUCCCUGGAGCAACAAUAGUGGGUGAGAACUGAGAAGUGAGAAGGGUGAAGGAUUAUAUUCUACGAUAUAUUCCUUAUUCAAACACAUUUGACUACUCAUAUAUUGUGUACGUAUCUGUGUGUUGUGUGUGGGUGAAAUAGCUCUAAACAAACCAUGAUGGUGAUGCAUGUAAUAAUAUAAUACAAAAUAUAAAUUUUUAUCCAGAAUUGACGCACACUCACUCACGUUAGAGAUGGUGAUGGGUGUUUUAGUAUUGCAAUUUAUACCCCUCAACGACCUAUGGAGGCAUUAAUGAGGGUGGAUUCACAAGGUGUCGCUCAAGUCCACUUAGAACGAAACGAAGAAAACAACAACAUAAAUUAUUGAAACUUUCAAUACCUUCUCUACUUCUUAUAUUAUUAGUUGUCCCACUACUUCUCUUCUUUAUAAAUCACUUUAUUCCCUCUCUUCCCCUCUCACUCCUCAUUCAGGUCACAAGCUCAUCGGGGCCUUCUUGGCGGUGGGGAAAGGAGGAGAGAAGAAGGUACAAUACAAC